GGACUACCCGCUGAGUUUAAGCAUAUAAAUAAGCGGAGGAGAAGAAACUUACGAGGAUUCCCCUAGUAACGGCGAGCGAACCGGGAGCAGCCCAGCUUGAGAAUCGGGCGGCCUCGCCGCCCGAAUUGUAGUCUGGAGAGGCGUCCUCAGCGACGGACCGGGCCCAAGUUCUCUGGAAAGGGACGCCUGGGAGGGUGAGAGCCCCGUCCGGCCCGGACCCUGUCGCACCACGAGGCGCCGUCAACGAGUCGGGUUGUUUGGGAAUGCAGCCCAAAUCGGGCGGUAAACUCCGUCCAAGGCUAAAUACAGGCGAGAGACCGAUAG
RNAcentral lists this ribosomal RNA (324 nucleotides) under Kocuria rhizophila. RNAcentral's name for it is "eukaryotic LSU rRNA". It matches the Rfam family "Eukaryotic large subunit ribosomal RNA", at positions 19 to 340 of the family's 3401-position model. The record is from RNAcentral. Lineage: Bacteria; Bacillati; Actinomycetota; Actinomycetes; Micrococcales; Micrococcaceae.